This 323-nucleotide unclassified non-coding RNA is filed under the name Entoloma indutoides. Its description in RNAcentral is "sequence contains ITS1 and 5.8S rRNA gene". Lineage: Eukaryota; Fungi; Basidiomycota; Agaricomycetes; Agaricales; Entolomataceae. The record is from RNAcentral.
CUGAAUAAACAUGGUCAAGGUUGUUGCUGGCUUUUACAUGUUUGUGAAAGCAUGUGCACACCUGUUUUACCAGUUUUAUUUAUCCUCCUGUGCAUCUUUUGUAGAUCUAAAAUGAUAAUAAUACUCGUGCAAAUAUUAUGCUCUCGGAUUUUGGAAAUUGCUGUAGAAUGUGGGCAACAUUGUAACAGCUCUUUUCUUGCAUAUUAGAUCUAUGUUUAUUUGAUUAUAACCUCCCAUAUGUGUUAAAAAGUAUCUGUCAAGGUUGUUAUACCUUUACAAAUAAUACAACUUUCAACAACGGAUCUCUUGGCUCUCGCAUCGAU